UACGGAGGGGGCUAGCGUUGUUCGGAAUUACUGGGCGUAAAGCGCACGUAGGCGGCUUUGCAAGUCAGAGGUGAAAGCCCGGGGCUCAACCCCGGAAUUGCCUUUGAGACUGCAUCGCUAGAAUUGUGGAGAGGUAAGUGGAAUUCCGAGUGUAGAGGUGAAAUUCGUAGAUAUUCGGAAGAACACCAGUGGCGAAGGCGACUUACUGGACACAUAUUGACGCUGAGGGUGCGAAAGCGUGGGGGAGCAAACAGG
This 255-nucleotide ribosomal RNA is filed under the name uncultured bacterium. Its description in RNAcentral is "partial 16S ribosomal RNA". It matches the Rfam family "Bacterial small subunit ribosomal RNA", at positions 524 to 776 of the family's 1533-position model. The record is from RNAcentral.